This 464-nucleotide ribosomal RNA is filed under the name uncultured bacterium. Its description in RNAcentral is "bacterial SSU rRNA". It matches the Rfam family "Bacterial small subunit ribosomal RNA", at positions 331 to 792 of the family's 1533-position model. The record is from RNAcentral.
CCAGACUCCUACGGGAGGCAGCAGUGAGGAAUAUUGGUCAAUGGUCGGGAGACUGAACCAGCCAAGCCGCGUGAGGGAGGAAGGUACAGAGUAUCGUAAACCUCUUUUGUCAGGGAACAAAGGCGGGGACGUGUCCCCGGAUGAGUGUACCUGAAGAAAAAGCAUCGGCUAACUCCGUGCCAGCAGCCGCGGUAAUACGGAGGAUGCGAGCGUUAUCCGGAUUUAUUGGGUUUAAAGGGGGCGCAGGCGGGUCGGGAGGGACCGCGGAAACCGCGCGGGCCCCACCCCGGCCCCGCCGUUGAAACUGGCAGUCUCGAGUUGGAGAGAAGUAUGCGGAAUGCGCGGUGUAGCGGUGAAAUGCAUAGAUAUCGCGCAGAACUCCGAUUGCGAAGGCAGCAUGCCGGCUCCACACUGACGCUGAGGCACGAAAGCGUGGGUAUCGAACAGGAUUAGAUACCCGGGUA